RNAcentral lists this ribosomal RNA (497 nucleotides) under uncultured bacterium. RNAcentral's name for it is "partial 16S ribosomal RNA". It matches the Rfam family "Bacterial small subunit ribosomal RNA", at positions 28 to 507 of the family's 1533-position model. The record is from RNAcentral.
GACGAACGCUGGCGGCGUGCCUAAUACAUGCCAGUCGAGCGCAGAAGGCUGGUACUUGUACCGACUGGGUGAGCAGCGCACGGGUGAGUAACGCGUGGGACAUCUGCCUUUGAGCGGGGGACAACAUGUGGAAACGAAUGCUAAUACCGCAUAAAAUCUUGAAACACAGGGUUUAAGGUUGAAAGAUGCAAUUGCAUGACUCACAGAUGAUCUCGCAGUGUAUUAGCGAGGUGGUGGGGUAAAGGCUCACCAAGGCGAGGAUACAUAGCCGAACUGAGAGGGUGAUCGGCCACAUUGGGACGGAGACACGGCCCAAACGGCUACGGGAGGGAGCAGGAGGGAAUCGGCGGCAAGGGAUGAAAGUUUGUCCGAGCAACGCCGAGGGAGUGAGGAAGGAUGUCGGGUGGGAAAACUCUGUUGGUAGGGAAGAACGCGGGUGAGAGUGGAAAGAUCAGCAAGUGACGGUAACUACUCAGAAAGGGACGGCUAACUACGUG